UGCAGUCGAACGGCAGCACGGGCUUCGGCCUGGUGGCGAGUGGCGAACGGGUGAGUAAUACAUCGGAACGUACCCAGAAGUGGGGGAUAACGUAGCGAAAGUUACGCUAAUACCGCAUACGUUCUACGGAAGAAAGUGGGGGAUCGCAAGACCUCAUGCUUUUGGAGCGGCCGAUGUCUGAUUAGCUAGUUGGUGAGGUAAAGGCUCACCAAGGCGACGAUCAGUAGCUGGUCUGAGAGGACGACCAGCCACACUGGAACUGAGACACGGUCCAGACUCCUACGGGAGGCAGCAGUGGGGAAUUUUGGACAAUGGGCGCAAGCCUGAUCCAGCAAUGCCGCGUGAGUGAAGAAGGCCUUCGGGUUGUAAAGCUCUUUUGUCAGGGAAGAAACGGCAGGGGCUAAUAUCCUUUGCUAAUGACGGUACCUGAAGAAUAAGCACCGGCUAACUACGUGCCAGCAGCCGCGGUAAUACGUAGGGUGCAAGCGUUAAUCGGAAUUACUGGGCGUAAAGCGUGCGCAGGCGGUUUUGUAAGUCUGACGUGAAAGCCCCGGGCUCAACCUGGGAAUUGCGUUGGAGACUGCAAGGCUUGAAUCUGGCAGAGGGGGGUAGAAUUCCACGUGUAGCAGUGAAAUGCGUAGAGAUGUGGAGGAACACCGAUGGCGAAGGCAGCCCCCUGGGUCAAGAUUGACGCUCAUGCACGAAAGCGUGGGGAGCAAACAGGAUUAGAUACCCUGGUAGUCCACGCCCUAAACGAUGUCUACUAGUUGUCGGGUUUUAAUUAACUUGGUAACGCAGCUAACGCGUGAAGUAGACCGCCUGGGGAGUACGGUCGCAAGAUUAAAACUCAAAGGAAUUGACGGGGACCCGCACAAGCGGUGGAUGAUGUGGAUUAAUUCGAUGCAACGCGAAAAACCUUACCUACCCUUGACAUGUCAGGAAUCCUUGAGAGAUUGAGGAGUGCCCGAAAGGGAACCUGAACACAGGUGCUGCAUGGCUGUCGUCAGCUCGUGUCGUGAGA
Molecule: ribosomal RNA, 1021 nt
Filed under: Massilia sp.
Lineage: Bacteria; Pseudomonadati; Pseudomonadota; Betaproteobacteria; Burkholderiales; Oxalobacteraceae
Description: bacterial SSU rRNA
Rfam family: Bacterial small subunit ribosomal RNA
Source: RNAcentral